This 357-nucleotide long non-coding RNA is filed under the name Mytilus galloprovincialis (Mediterranean mussel). Lineage: Eukaryota; Metazoa; Mollusca; Bivalvia; Mytilida; Mytilidae. The record is from RNAcentral.
CUGGAAUUUUCAGAUGAAUCGGAUAAUCGGUUGUUGGGUUGCUGCUCCUGAAAUGGUAAUUUUAAGGAAAUUUUGCUGUUUUUGGUUAUUAUCUUGAAUAUUAUUAUAGAUAGAGAUAAACUGUAAACAGCAAUAAUGUUCAGCAAAGUAGGAUCUACAAAUAAGUCAACAUGUCCAAAAUGGUCAGUUGACCACUUAAGGAGUUAUUGCCCUUUAUAGUCAAUUUUUAACCAUUUUUCGUAAAUCUGAGUAAUCUUUUAGAAAAAUCUUCUCCUCUGAAACUACUGGGCCAAAUUUAACCAAACUUGGCCAUAAUCACCAUUGGGGUAUCUAGUUAAAAAAAUGUGUCCGGUGACC